Molecule: long non-coding RNA, 473 nt
Filed under: Sorghum bicolor (sorghum)
Lineage: Eukaryota; Viridiplantae; Streptophyta; Magnoliopsida; Poales; Poaceae
Description: long non-coding RNA (SBIC_LNC000789)
Source: RNAcentral
UCAUGGGGAAGCCGUUAACAUGCUCCGGUUGAAAAUCACCGGCAAUUGCAGCCCUGACUCGGGCCGCGACUUCGUCGUCCGCCGGAGCCUCGUUGGACAUCCGGCACGCCUCGAGGUCCCGAGAUGGGACGCCAGGGCCCAUCUCGUCCAUCCUCAACGGUCGAGACAUCAAUGGGAGAACUCUCCGGUGAUGGACGGCCGAGAGGACGAGAGCGGCGGUCAAACCCUCCUGGCGAAGCUUCUUUAGGGCGUCGAGGAGGGGGUCGAGCCGAGAUUGAUGAGCUUGGACGACGCCGUAUGUCCAGUCCGCUGGACGCUCCAUGAUCAGACGGCCCGAGUAGGAAGGCAGGAGGUUGUCGUCGUUCCGCAGGUAAAACCACUGGGACUCCCAGCCGGCGUGGUUGGUCGAUAACCCUACCGGGAUGUACUCCCGCGGCCUGUCCGUCUUCCCCGUCUUCUGCACGAGAUUAAGG